UUACCCGCUGAACUUAAGCAUAUCAAUAAGCGGAGGAAAAG
RNAcentral lists this ribosomal RNA (41 nucleotides) under Metschnikowia drakensbergensis. Its description in RNAcentral is "partial 26S ribosomal RNA". The record is from RNAcentral. Lineage: Eukaryota; Fungi; Ascomycota; Pichiomycetes; Serinales; Metschnikowiaceae.